RNAcentral lists this ribosomal RNA (116 nucleotides) under Anolis carolinensis (green anole). The record is from RNAcentral. Lineage: Eukaryota; Metazoa; Chordata; Lepidosauria; Squamata; Anolidae.
UAAUACCUAAAUAUUCUAAAGGCACCAAAUCCCACCUGAUCUUGGAAGCUAAACAAGAUUACUUUUAGUUAGUACUUGGGUGGGAGACCGCCAAUGAAUAGCAGGUACUGUAUUUC